Solea solea (common sole) is the source of this 6611-nucleotide RNA transcript. It is a transcript of the gene named ubiquitin specific peptidase 54b, with no coding region annotated. The record is from RefSeq and is a predicted model, not a curated record. NCBI's taxonomy places the organism in Eukaryota, Metazoa, Chordata, Actinopteri, Pleuronectiformes, Soleidae. The transcript has 21 exons.
GAGGAUGGCCCGGUAUCGCGAGAGCCGCGUGCCGCGACCGGAGCGCUGGAUGGCGCUGGCGGGGGCUGGAUGCGCCCACGGCUCGCCCUCCCUCAGCCGUUAAAUCACACGGUGGGACACGCGAGUGGACGGAGACUGGCGGCGGCGGUGACAGACUGACGGACGGACGGACGGCACACGGGGCAAAGUUAAAGUGAAGAGAACAUGGAAGGAGUUUCCACACGGGAGCAGCAGUGCCACCUAAUCGACAUUUAUCUGACAGAAGCAGCCAAAGGACACCUUGGACAAGCUCUCAUGUCCUCAAACACAAACCACUAAAUCCAAGGAGCUAAAAAAAGAAAGGAAGCAAAAAAAACAAAAACAACAACCACUCGCUGCAGCAAGAGGACUGAUUCAGAUUUGUGAAAUACGGCUGGAAAGCGGGAGCAGUUUAUGGGUGCCAAAUCCUCUUCCAGGACACAUCACUUCUCCUCGAUCUACUGUCACCACCUCCCUUGUCUCCAUCCCUUCAUUUCCUCCUCCUCUGCCUUUGUCUCAUUCUCCAUCUUUCUCUCUCAUGGGAGUGACAUAGAGGCCGUCGCUUGCUCUGCUGCCCCGCCUCUUCCCCUUCCCCGCCGCGCCGUGGAAACGGGGGCGUCCGGGUAGUGAUGUCGUGGAAGAGGAACUAUUUUGCAUCAGGCGGCGGAGCAGUAGGCGGGGUGCAGGGGCUGGUGACCCCGAGAACCAUGACCUCGAUUGCACCCAGCAAAGGCCUCAGCAACGAGCCGGGACAGAACAGCUGCUUCCUCAACAGCGCUCUGCAGGUUUUGUGGCACCUCGACAUCUUUCGCCGAAGCUUUCGACAGCUAACGACGCACAAGUGCAUGGAGGACUCGUGCAUCUUCUGCGCCUUGAAGAGUAUCUUUGCUCAGUUCCAGUUCAGCAGUGAGCGUGUGCUGCCGUCAGAUGCACUGCGGAGCGCUCUGGCCAAGACUUUUCAAGACGAACAACGCUUUCAGCUGGGUAUCAUGGAUGACGCUGCCGAGUGCUUUGAGAACCUCCUGAUGCGAAUCCACUUCCACAUCAGUGCUGAGAGUAGAGAGGACAUCUGCACAGCCAAACACUGCAUACCACACCAGAAGUUUGCCAUGACUCUGUUUGAACAGUGUGUGUGUAACAGCUGCGGCGCCACAUCAGACCCCCUGCCCUUCAUUCAGAUGGUUCAUUACAUCUCCACGACAUCCCUCUGUAACCAGGCAGUGAGGAUGCUGGAGUGCAGAGAGAAACCCACACCGGACAUGUUUGGAGAACUGCUCCGUAACGCCAGCAACAUGGGAGACCUGCGCAACUGUCCUAGCAAUUGUGGCGAGGUGUUGCGUAUUCGCCGGGUGCUGAUGAACUCGCCAGAGAUUGUGUCCAUCGGGCUGGUGUGGGACUCGGACCACUCUGACCUGGCAGAGGACGUCAUACACAGCCUGGGGACCUGCCUCCGUUUGGGAGAUUUGUUCUACCGUGUGACAGAGGAGAAGGCUCGUCAGGCGGAGCUCUAUUUGGUGGGCAUGGUGUGCUACUACGGCAAGCACUACUCCACCUUCUUCUUCCAGACCAAGAUACGCAAGUGGAUGUACUUCGACGACGCCCACGUCAAAGAGAUCGGCCCGAAGUGGAAGGACGUGGUGUCUCGCUGUAUCAAAGGCCACUAUCAGCCCCUGCUGCUGCUCUACGCUGACCCCCGUGGGACGCCAGUGAUACUGCAGGAGAGCCCCAACCCCUGUACCAGCUCCAACCCGCAGCUGGAGCUCCAGCACUGCAGCAGCAAGGCUGGUUACGACAGCGAAGACUCUGGCCGGGAGCCAUCCAUAUCCAGCGACACUCGCACCGACUCUUCAACAGAGAGCUCGAGUCACCGCGCCUGUCGGAGCCGCUCUCUCCACCAGUCCACAGGCAGCCACCUCUCCAGUGAAUCCCAGACCACAGUGGUCUGUAAUUACGACAUCGGCACGCCACCGCACACCGUUGACGCCAGAGAGUCAGCAGUGGAGGGUCCCCCCCGCCCUCCCUCUCCUCCGCUGCAGGAGUACAAGGAGACGGCCGUCUUCCUCCUGUCCUCCCGCAGGCCUCUCACCUCCUCCUCCUCUUCAUCUCGUCCCCUCUCCUCCUCCUCCUCGUCUGGAGUAGGGGGCUGCGAGAGUGGGGCUGGGGGGCCCCACUGGGAGGAUGAAAGCACCAGCAGUGAGAGCAAGUCCAGUUCUUCUGGAGGCCGCUACAGGCCCACCUGGAGGCCUCGGAGAGAGGCCCUGAACAUCGACAGCAUCUUCAUCCGCCAGCGAGCCUCCUCUCUGGGAUACAACACCCUGCCUGGUCCCUCUCAUCCUCCGGAGCCCCGGGACUCCCUCCCCUUGGCGGGACCCGCUCCACCCACACAGCCAGGGCUACUGGAGGCGGAACGGAGAGAGAUUGGGGAGUCGGAGACAGGGUUUGGGCUGGUGGGGCAGCCCAGGUCUGUGGGCAGUGGGCGGACGAUGGGUCCCCCUGCCCCUCCGCCUCUGAGAGGGGUGGAGCACCAGCCACGUCUGAUUCAGAGAAUGGAGAGUGGCUACGAGAGCAGUGAGAGAAACAGCAGCAGCCCCGAUAGGGAGGUGGGGCAACAGAAACGGGUGCUGAUGUCAGGCCCGUCAUGGCGCUCAGUGCCCAAGUCGAAGAGCAGUGGCGCCAUCCUGCAGGAGCUGCCCUCAGCCAGCUGGGGCAGGGGCGCCGCCACAGGCUCAGGGCGCAGCGAGCUGGAUGAGCUGCAGGAGGAGGUGGCGCGGAGAGCUCGCCAGCAGGAGCAGCAGAAGCGGAGGGAGGCAGAGCGGGAGGCAGCCAUGGGAUUCAACCCCAAACCCAGCAAAUUCAUGGACCUGGACCAGCUCCAACACCAGGCUGUGCUCAGACCCCUGCAUGAGGCUAACGCUCAUAGCGGAUUGGCUGUAGCUGCGUGCAUGAGGAGCACUGGGGGCCCAAUCAAACGCAGGCAGGAACAGGAAAUGGAACGGGAGACGGGAAGCGUCCGUCCACAGGGGCCUCACAGUGAACAGCCUGGCCCGGUCCAAGUUCUGCUGACGCCCAAUCAGGAGGAGGAAGAAGACCAGGCAGUGCCCAACCAGGAUUCUGCUCUGGGCCCGGACCCGCCCCUUCCACUCUAUCGGCCGGCUCCCCCUCGCCCCCCUCUCACCCUCAACAUUACUCACCCUUGUGCCCCUUCCAGCCGAGCGAAGGAGGACGAGGGUGGUUGUGUGGUGAGGAGAAGAGAGGAAGAGGAGGUUGGGAGGGAGGGGACAGGGGUGAGGAUGUGCGAGUUGCUGCAGGCAGGGGGGGUGAGCGUCAGACCUCUCGGGAAGCAUCUUGCCAUCUCUCUGCCCUCGCUUCCGUUGCGUCUCUGGGAUACACACACCGCACACUCCACACACCUUGAACCCCCGCACACACACCUUCCCCCUCCACCCUAUGCCCCUCCCUCCCCCCUGGAAGCAACUGGGGAGAGGAAACCUCUCGCGCCUCUCUGGCAGCCUCCGCAGCCCCACUCCCCCGCCGUCGCCACUCAGCACUGGCUGAGGCACGGAGCCGCCUCUGACGGCAGCACACGUCAUUGGUCCUCCUGGAGUUUGGACCGCCCUGAUGCCGUGGUGACACCGUACAGCACACCCCCAGACUGCUGUGUUCCCAUCGGGCCCCGGGUGUCCAGCCAGAACUACAGCUACAGUUGCCAGUCGUCUCCAGGGCACUACAGCUCCCAGCAUGCCCCAGGGCAACACGGUGACCCUCGCUGUGAACGCGAAGAGGCUGAGCUGACAGAGCUUGACUCCCUUUACCAGGCCAGUCUACAAGCAGGAAAGACAGGCUGCAGCCCAUCAGAGAGGCUCAUAUCCAGGGUGGGAGGGCAGGCUCGCUCUAAGACCCCCAACGCAGACAUGGAGAGGAGUGUGUACGGGGCAGACUGCACCAGCACCCCCACCUACCUCAACAAGCCAAUGAUGUUGCGUGAUCUGCGCUUUGGGGCGGAGCCUGACGAUGGGGAAAAUCGGAGGCAAAUUGGACGCAGCCUGAGUGGCACAGUAGUGACCUCGCGCCGCAGCCGCAUGACUGCAACCCGCAGCUUUGUGAAGCAGACUGAUGUCAGUUCCUCUCCUUGCUUACUUCCUCUCUUCUGAGUCCUUGUUGCUAUUCCACCACUAUCAUCUCUUCCAUCAUCCUCAUCACCUUGUCAUGACCACCUCCCUCCACUGCUUCACAGGAGCUGUCGGGCAGCGCGGGCAGUUUCUGGCUAUGUCUGACGGGGGUCAAGCUGUCAUCUGACCAGAGUCCUGCUCUGUUUCACUAAUGUCUCACCGCGUCCACUCCCACAUGGGGGCAGCGGCACCAGGGUCCUCGAUGGCCUCACCUUGACAGACCAGGCUCAGGAGGAUCAAAUUCAGCUACGAUCCCCACCUUUCUCCUUGUCCCUCAAACGACAUGCACACGCAAACACAUGCACGCACACAUGCACAUCUGCACUGAUGUAGAGCCUCCCCCUCAGCGCCUGCAGCAACCUGCUUCGCCCCUUUUUGCCUACUCCCCUCCUUUAACCUACUAUUCUGUCUAUGCAGUCACUCUGAACCCAACUACAACCUCAAGCUUCCUCCCCUACUUCCCUGGACUGUUGUUUCUUGUCUCCCCCUUGGUUUUCAGAGGGAUUUCCUGUGUAGCCAGCCUGGCGAGCAUGCCGCGGUCAUAUGGCAUUUUCAGUUUGCCGUUGGUGUCGCAUCGGCCCCGGUCUGACUGGGACCGGAGCUCUCAGCAGACUGGCCCUCUGUCUCACAGGACCCUCAGCUCAGGGGGAAGUUCUUACCAAGUAGCCACGCCUCUUCCUCUUUCUUCACGGGCAUUUCCUGUUGGGACGCACACUUAGCCGAACUGUUUCAGAUGGACAGCCAUAUUUUUUCUCUCUCUUUCUUUUUCGGGUUUGUCCGUUUGUUUUCUUCUUUCUGUGUGUGCGCACAGUAAACCCGCCCGAGACUGAACUCUCUAACAACUAAAAGUCAUGUACAGAAAAACACAUGUAUGAAACCUGUAUGUUAAUUAAUAAGACCUUAUGGAAUGUUGAUAAUGAUAAUUAACGAAUAUUGAUAAACUUAAAGUGGUACUUCCUCAUGUCUGCAUUUCAAAUACGAGUGGAGUGCACUUCACAAGUGUCUAGCUGGAGUUUCCGCCCCCAAACCGCUCGCCGACCUAAUGACAGCUCUCCCGUUUCUACCGGGAGAUUAAUCAAGAAAAGCGCUUCCUUUUUUUCCUCUGCUUCGUUCCUCUCCUUCUUUCCUUUCUUGCUCUCUGUUAUCCUUGCUUGCUUUCUUCCUUCCUAACAGGAAUCAGUAGCACCAGAAAUAGGCCAGCAGGGAAGGAAAGUCGAGAAGGAAUAAAGGGGAAUGUAGGCUUGGAAAUCCUUCUCUUAGGCUUUAUCCGUGAAACGAGAGAUGACUCAAGUGCGCUUUGCGAGAUUAUUUGGCAGAAGUGCACUUUCCGAAGGCUGUUUGACCGAGAAGCCGUUUGAGAGAAAUCAGUGGUGUUUGUUUUACUUAAAGGCCUCAGGUGAACUUCAGUGGCACUUAUGAAUUCACAUUUUGUUGUUUCUUUCUCCCACUGAAGCUGAUUUUGCAAUCUCAGAUGUGAAUAGAAAACUUGCUCAUCUUCAGCCUGAGACAGUGACAUGUCUAAUAUGAACAUACUUUAUAUGAUAUAUAUGUAUUAGAGGUAUAUUUUCAGCCAGUGAGCUAUCUUCUUUAGAGAUGUCAACCAUUCCUCAGUUAUAUGAACGGUUACUAUAAUGAACAGGUAAAAAUUAAUUCUCUCCCCGUUUACUGAGUAGCAUUUUGACGUAUGUAGAGAACAUUUAUUAUAUGCUUUAUUAAAUAUUAUAUAAAAAUAACAAAGUCCUUAUUUAAAGAAAAAACUGGCCUAUGUGAAGUUCUUCAAGACUUCAGUGAUGUUGAUUGAUCGAUGUAACUAAACCAAAGGUUGGCACUUAACUCAGAGAGCUUAUUUAGCAUUGACCUUUUGUUUUUUUCAUUUAGGUUCAAAUUUUUGUCAAUGUUUUUGGUUUGUUUGUUUGUUUGUUUUGGAGUUGUGGAUGUGGGAGAAUGUAGCCAAUUGUAGCGCAUGAGUCCGCUAUGCAAAUCAACCUUCCCUCACAAUCCUGUAUCAGAGACAGUCAGGAGGCAGACACACCCACCCACGGGCGCUCUCACAGACUCUGGCCAAGACACCGAGAGGAAGAAGGAGAAUCUCAUGUUUAAUGCUGCUGGUGAACUUUGUUGUUCUGCAUCUACUGCUACGUUUCAUUCAAUGGAAUGCAAAAAGAGCAACAAGGAGAGAUUAAGAUGGAGAGAGAGGAUGAAUGAAUGUAAACCGGGAUGAACGUGUGUGUUUCGUGAAUGGCAUGAUUGUCAGAGGAGGGUAGAGAGUGAACCAGGUACUUCUAAGGAUGGUUUAUUGUUAGUGGGUGUGUGCAGACUAUGUGUGUCAGUUCUGGGCUGUUGUUGCUCGGGGAUAGAGGGAACCUGUAUUUUUGCAAUAAAGUUAUUACCAAUGCACUCCCACAGGGGGCGUAACCACCUUAA